UACGUAGGAGGCGAGCGUUGUCCGGAGUUAUUGGGCGUAAAGCGCGUGCAGGCGGCCUGGCAGGUGCGGUGUGAAAGCUCCCGGCUUAACUGGGAGAGGGCGCUGCAGACCACCGGGCUCGGAGGGCUGGAGAGGGAGAUGGAAUUCCCGGUGUAGCGGUGAAAUGCGUAGAGAUCGGGAGGAACACCAGUGGCGAAAGCGAUCUCCUGGACAGUCCCUGACGCUCAAGCGCGAAAGCGAGGGGAGCAAACGGG
RNAcentral lists this ribosomal RNA (254 nucleotides) under uncultured bacterium. RNAcentral's name for it is "partial 16S ribosomal RNA". It matches the Rfam family "Bacterial small subunit ribosomal RNA", at positions 524 to 776 of the family's 1533-position model. The record is from RNAcentral.